UACGGAGGGGGCAAGCGUUGUUCGGAUUUACUGGGCGUAAAGGGUGUGUAGGCGGCUGGACAAGUCUGGUGUGAAAUCUUCACCGCUUAACGGGAAGGGGUCACUGGAAACUGUUCAGCUUGAGUAUGGUAGAGGCAAGCGGAAUUCCUGGUGUAGCGGUGGAAUGUGUAGAUAUCAGGAAGAACAUCGGUGGCGAAGGCGGCUUGCUGGGCCAUCACUGACGCUGAGACACGAAAGCGUGGGGAGCGAACAGG
RNAcentral lists this ribosomal RNA (254 nucleotides) under uncultured bacterium. RNAcentral's name for it is "partial 16S ribosomal RNA". It matches the Rfam family "Bacterial small subunit ribosomal RNA", at positions 524 to 776 of the family's 1533-position model. The record is from RNAcentral.